Molecule: long non-coding RNA, 1031 nt
Filed under: Citrus x clementina
Lineage: Eukaryota; Viridiplantae; Streptophyta; Magnoliopsida; Sapindales; Rutaceae
Description: Citrus clementina (C. clementina) long non-coding RNA (CCLE_LNC000105)
Source: RNAcentral
CUAUUGAUAAAGGUAGUAAAUUUGAAUUAAAAAAUAUAUUUAAUCCAACCUAAACUCAUGUGAAAGUGGGGAUCAAUAAUCUCAUGAAUUUGAGACUAAAAUUUGAACUAAUUUACUAGUCUUGACAACCAAACAUAACCUUGGAUUAGAUUAUUUUUUUUAUCCUCCAAAUUACAGUCUAAAUGCUAUCUUCUAUCCUACUUCCAAAUAUAGUCUUCAAGUCUUAGAAACACACGGGUAAAUUGUAAGAUAAAGCAUUUUGUCAUGGAUUUUCAUUGCUUGACAAACUUUUUGGGAGAACAAUAAUGCUGCAGAUUGUCUUGCUAAUCUACAUCUUAAUGAGUUUUUUUUUUUUGGGGAAUAAUCCUCACUUAGGGAUUCAACAAUUCUUGUCUUAAGAUGCUAAUCACUUUUGAAAUAUUGUUUCUUUUGAUAUGCUUUUAUUUUUAAUUUCUUUUUUACCUAUAGUUUCUCACGAUGUUGUUUCAGUGCUAUGGCUUAUCUUAAGAUUGAAGCACAUUAUGUCCCCCUAAAUGGAUGUUCUGAUUACUCUUUCUUAUUUAAUAAAAUCCUUCAGUAUGUCGAGGUUCAUCAAAAGAAAAUUAAGAAGCUAACAUAGCCCCAAGUCUUCGCCAAGUGUUUUUUUUUUUAAAUUAUAUGAGAUUAUUGUUUAAGAGUACAACUCAUAUUAAAUGAGAUUACAAUUGAUAUUUACAAAUCAAAUUGUUACUAGGACUAAUUUACAUCUUAUGAAGCACCGCCCAAAUUUUUACCCUCUCUAUUAUUCAAGGGAUGUAUAUUCCACUUACAUUUCGAAAAAGAGAAAACUGCCUUCAGUCAAAUCGAAGAAGGAAAUUAAACCCCCAGAAUGCAUUGUGGGGGCUCGAACCCAUGACCUCACAAUUGUGAGGUUUGGGUUCUAACUGGCUCGUUCGCCGAGUGAUUUUUAAGUAGCUUGAUUAAGCUUAUUUGAAUUUCCAAUGCCUAGUCAAGUGGUUUUCAAGCACUUUAUUUUAGUUCAGUCAAAUUGA